CCUACGGGGGGCUGCAGUGGGGAAUAUUGGACAAUGGGGGGAACCCUGAUCCAGCCAUGCCGCGUGUGUGAAGAAGGCCCUCGGGUUGUAAAGCACUUUCAGUGAGGAAGAACGCCUGGUGGUUAAUACCCAUCAGGAAAGACAUCACUCACAGAAGAAGCACCGGCUAACUCCGUGCCAGCAGCCGCGGUAAUACGGAGGGUGCGAGCGUUAAUCGGAAUUACUGGGCGGAAAGCGCGCGUAGGUGGCUUGAUAAGCCGGUUGUGAAAGCCCCGGGCUCAACCUGGGAACGGCAUCCGGAACUGUCAAGCUAGAGUGCAGGAGAGGAAAGUAGAAUUCCCGGUGUAGCGGUGAAAUGCGUAGAGAUCGGGAGGAAUACCAGUGGCGAAGGCGGCCUUCUGGACUGACACUGACACUGAGGUGCGAAAGCGUGGGUAGCAAACAGGAUUAGAUACCCGAGUAGUC
RNAcentral lists this ribosomal RNA (465 nucleotides) under Vreelandella stevensii. RNAcentral describes it as "partial 16S ribosomal RNA". It matches the Rfam family "Bacterial small subunit ribosomal RNA", at positions 338 to 795 of the family's 1533-position model. The record is from RNAcentral. Lineage: Bacteria; Pseudomonadati; Pseudomonadota; Gammaproteobacteria; Oceanospirillales; Halomonadaceae.